UGCCAGUAGCCGCGGUAAUACGGAGGGUGUAAGCGUUGUUCGGAAUUAUUGGGCGUAAAGAGCAUGUAGGCGGACUAUUAAGUCUGGCGUGAAAGCCCGGGGCUCAACCCCGGAAGUGCGUUGGAUACUGGUAGUCUUGAGUAUGGGAGAGGAAAGUGGAAUUCCGAGUGUAGGGGUGAAAUCCGUAGAUAUUCGGAGGAACACCAGUGGCGAAGGCGGCUUUCUGGACCAAUACUGACGCUGAGAUGCGAAAGCGUGGGGAGCGAGCAGGAUUAGAUA
Molecule: ribosomal RNA, 279 nt
Filed under: uncultured bacterium
Lineage: Bacteria
Description: partial 16S ribosomal RNA
Rfam family: Bacterial small subunit ribosomal RNA
Source: RNAcentral